AGGAGGCUCUUGGGUCGUAAACUCCUUUUCUCAGGGAAGAAAAAAUGACGGUACCUGAGGAAUAAGCAUCGGCUAACUCCGUGCCAGCAGCCGCGGUAAUACGGAGGAUGCAAGCGUUAUCCGGAAUGAUUGGGCGUAAAGCGUCCGCAGGUGGCAUUGUAAGUCUGCUGUUAAAGCGUCUGGCUCAACCAGAUAAGGGCAGUGGAAACUACACAGCUAGAGUACGUUCGGGGCAGAGGGAAUUCCUGGUGUAGCGGUGAAAUGCGUAGAGAUCAAGAAGAACACCAGCGGCGAAAGCGCUCUGCUAGGCCGUAACUGACACUGAGGGACGAAAGCUAGGGGAGCGAAUGGGAUUAGAUA
Molecule: ribosomal RNA, 360 nt
Filed under: uncultured cyanobacterium
Lineage: Bacteria; Bacillati; Cyanobacteriota
Description: bacterial SSU rRNA
Rfam family: Bacterial small subunit ribosomal RNA
Source: RNAcentral